GGGCCAGGGCGGCUGCUACCAUGCAGUCGAACGGUGAAGCCAAGCUUGCUUGGUGGAUCAGUGGCGAACGGGUGAGUAACACGUGAGCAACCUGCCCUGGACUCUGGGAUAAGCGCUGGAAACGGCGUCUAAUACUGGAUAUGAGCUCUCAUCGCAUGGUGGGGGUUGGAAAGAUUUUUCGGUCUGGGAUGGGCUCGCGGCCUAUCAGCUUGUUGGUGAGGUAAUGGCUCACCAAGGCGUCGACGGGUAGCCGGCCUGAGAGGGUGACCGGCCACACUGGGACUGAGACACGGCCCAGACUCCUACGGGAGGCAGCAGUGGGGAAUAUUGCACAAUGGGCGGAAGCCUGAUGCAGCAACGCCGCGUGAGGGAUGACGGCCUUCGGGUUGUAAACCUCUUUUAGCAGGGAAGAAGCGAGAGUGACGGUACCUGCAGAAAAAGCGCCGGCUAACUACGUGCCAGCAGCCGCGGUAAUACGUAGGGCGCAAGCGUUAUCCGGAAUUAUUGGGCGUAAAGAGCUCGUAGGCGGUUUGUCGCGUCUGCUGUGAAAUCCCGAGGCUCAACCUCGGGCCUGCAGUGGGUACGGGCAGACUAGAGUGCGGUAGGGGAGAUUGGAAUUCCUGGUGUAGCGGUGGAAUGCGCAGAUAUCAGGAGGAACACCGAUGGCGAAGGCAGAUCUCUGGGCCGUAACUGACGCUGAGGAGCGAAAGGGUGGGGAGCAAACAGGCUUAGAUACCCUGGUAGUCCACCCCGUAAACGUUGGGAACUAGUUGUGGGGACCAUUCCACGGUUUCCGUGACGCAGCUAACGCAUUAAGUUCCCCGCCUGGGGAGUACGGCCGCAAGGCUAAAACUCAAAGGAAUUGACGGGGACCCGCACAAGCGGCGGAGCAUGCGGAUUAAUUCGAUGCAACGCGAAGAACCUUACCAAGGCUUGACAUACACCAGAACACCGUAGAAAUACGGGACUCUUUGGACACUGGUGAACAGGUGGUGCAUGGUUGUCGUCAGCUCGUGUCGUGAGAUGUUGGGUUAAGUCCCGCAACGAGCGCAACCCUCGUUCUAUGUUGCCAGCACGUAAUGGUGGGAACUCAUGGGAUACUGCCGGGGUCAACUCGGAGGAAGGUGGGGAUGACGUCAAAUCAUCAUGCCCCUUAUGUCUUGGGCUUCACGCAUGCUACAAUGGCCGGUACAAAGGGCUGCAAUACCGUGAGGUGGAGCGAAUCCCAAAAAGCCGGUCCCAGUUCGGAUUGAGGUCUGCAACUCGACCUCAUGAAGUCGGAGUCGCUAGUAAUCGCAGAUCAGCAACGCUGCGGUGAAUACGUUCCCGGGUCUUGUACACACCGCCCGUCAAGUCAUGAAAGUCGGUAACACCUGAAGCCGGUGGCCCAACCCUUGUGGAGGAGCCGUCGAAGGGGAUUAUU
RNAcentral lists this ribosomal RNA (1423 nucleotides) under Microbacterium sp. Bra47. RNAcentral describes it as "bacterial SSU rRNA". It matches the Rfam family "Bacterial small subunit ribosomal RNA". Lineage: Bacteria; Bacillati; Actinomycetota; Actinomycetes; Micrococcales; Microbacteriaceae. The record is from RNAcentral.